AUUGAACGCUGGCGGCAGGCCUAACACAUGCAAGUCGAGCGGUAGAGAGGUGCUUGCAUCUCUUGAGAGCGGCGGACGGGUGAGUAAUGCCUAGGAAUCUGCCUAGUGGUGGGGGAUAACGUUCGGAAACGGACGCUAAUACCGCAUACGUCCUACGGGAGAAAGCGGGGGGAUCUUCGGACCUCGCGCCAUUAGAUGAGCCUAGGUCGGAUUAGCUAGUUGGUGAGGUAAUGGCUCACCAAGGCGACGAUCCGUAACUGGUCUGAGAGGAUGAUCAGUCACACUGGAACUGAGACACGGUCCAGACUCCUACGGGAGGCAGCAGUGGGGAAUAUUGGACAAUGGGCGAAAGCCUGAUCCAGCCAUGCCGCGUGUGUGAAGAAGGUCUUCGGAUUGUAAAGCACUUU
Molecule: ribosomal RNA, 407 nt
Filed under: uncultured bacterium
Lineage: Bacteria
Description: bacterial SSU rRNA
Rfam family: Bacterial small subunit ribosomal RNA
Source: RNAcentral